This 477-nucleotide ribosomal RNA is filed under the name uncultured Pseudoalteromonas sp. Its description in RNAcentral is "bacterial SSU rRNA". It matches the Rfam family "Bacterial small subunit ribosomal RNA", at positions 97 to 570 of the family's 1533-position model. Lineage: Bacteria; Pseudomonadati; Pseudomonadota; Gammaproteobacteria; Alteromonadales; Pseudoalteromonadaceae. The record is from RNAcentral.
GGCGGACGGGUGAGUAAUGCUUGGGAAUAUGCCUUAUGGUGGGGGACAACAGUUGGAAACGACUGCUAAUACCGCAUGAUGUCUACGGACCAAAGUGGGGGACCUUCGGGUCUCACGCCAUAAGAUUAGCCCAAGUGGGAUUAGCUAGUUGGUGAGGUAAUGGCUCACCAAGGCGACGAUCCCUAGCUGGUUUGAGAGGAUGAUCAGCCACACUGGGACUGAGACACGGCCCAGACUCCUACGGGAGGCAGCAGUGGGGAAUAUUGCACAAUGGGCGCAAGCCUAAUGCAGCCAUGCCGCGUGUGUGAAGAAGGCCUUCGGGUUGUAAAGCACUUUCAGUAAGGAGGAAAGGUUAGUCACUAAUAUUGGCUAGCUGUGACGUUACUUACAGAAGAAGCACCGGCUAACUCCGUGCCAGCAGCCGCGGUAAUACGGAGGGUGCGAGCGUUAAUCGGAAUUACUGGGCGUAAAGCGUAC